AGAGUUUGAUCCUGGCUCAGAACGAACGCUGGCGGCGUGGAUAAGACAUGCAAGUCGAGCGCUGAUUACGGGGUAGCAAUAUUCCGUAGUCGGAGCGGCGCAAGGGUGCGUAACACGUGGGUAAUCUGCCAUGAAGUUUGGAAUAACUCGCUGAAAGGCGAGCUAAUGCCGGAUGUGAAAACUGGGAGGCAUCUCUUGGUUUUCAAAGCUGGGGACCGUAAGGCCUGGCGCUUCAUGAUGAGCCCGCGGCCUAUCAGCUAGUUGGUAAGGUAACGGCUUACCAAGGCUAAGACGGGUAGCUGGUCUGAGAGGACGACCAGCCACACUGGAACUGAGACACGGUCCAGACACCUACGGGUGGCAGCAGUCGAGAAUUUUUCACAAUGGGCGCAAGCCUGAUGGAGCGACGCCGCGUGGGGGAUGAAUGGCUUCGGCCCGUAAACCCCUGUCAUUUGCGAUCAACCGUUGUUGUUUAAGAGAUGACAACCUGAUAGUAGCGAAAGAGGAAGGGACGGCUAACUCUGUGCCAGCAGCCGCGGUAAUACAGAGGUCCCAAGCGUUGUUCGGAUUCACUGGGCGUAAAGGGUGCGUAGGUGGCGGGGUAAGUCGGAUGUGAAAUCUCCGAGCUCAACUCGGAAAUGGCAUUGGAAACUGCUCUGCUCGAGGGUUGGAGGGGGGACUGGAAUACUUGGUGUA
Molecule: ribosomal RNA, 696 nt
Filed under: uncultured bacterium
Lineage: Bacteria
Description: bacterial SSU rRNA
Rfam family: Bacterial small subunit ribosomal RNA
Source: RNAcentral